AUAUCAAUAAGCGGAGGAGAAGAAAUUAACUAAGAUUGCCCUAGUAACGGCGAGUGAAGCGGCAAAAGCUCAAACUGGAAAUCUAGUACCUUCGGUACUCGAAUUGUAAUCUAAAGAGGGUGUACUCACCGGGUGGUGGUGCAGAAGUGCUCACGAACGAGCCGCCAGAGAGGGUGACAGCCCCGUAUGUGGUACCACUACCUAACGAGUAUGUCUUUGUAGAGUCGGGUUGUUUUGUAUUGCAGCCCUAAGUGGGAGAUAAACUUCUUCUAAGGCUAAAUAUAUAUGGGAGACCGAUAGCGCACAAGUA
RNAcentral lists this ribosomal RNA (310 nucleotides) under uncultured Stylonychia. RNAcentral's name for it is "partial large subunit ribosomal RNA". It matches the Rfam family "Eukaryotic large subunit ribosomal RNA", at positions 40 to 350 of the family's 3401-position model. Lineage: Eukaryota; Ciliophora; Spirotrichea; Sporadotrichida; Oxytrichidae. The record is from RNAcentral.